This 484-nucleotide ribosomal RNA is filed under the name uncultured bacterium. RNAcentral describes it as "partial 16S ribosomal RNA". It matches the Rfam family "Bacterial small subunit ribosomal RNA", at positions 30 to 507 of the family's 1533-position model. The record is from RNAcentral.
AUUGAACGCUGGCGGCAGGCCUAACACAUGCAAGUCGAGCGGAUGAAGGGAGCUUGCUCCUGGAUUCAGCGGCGGACGGGUGAGUAAUGCCUAGGAAUCUGCCUGGUAGUGGGGGAUAACGUCCGGAAACGGGCGCUAAUACCGCAUACGUCCUGAGGGAGAAAGUGGGGGAUCUUCGGACCUCACGCUAUCAGAUGAGCCUAGGUCGGAUUAGCUAGUUGGUGGGGUAAAGGCCUACCAAGGCGACGAUCCGUAACUGGUCUGAGAGGAUGAUCAGUCACACUGGAACUGAGACACGGUCCAGACUCCUACGGGAGGCAGCAGUAGGGAAUAUUGGACAAUGGGCGAAAGCCUGAUCCAGCCAUGCCGCGUGUGUGAAGAAGGUCUUCGGAUUGUAAAGCACUGUGAGUUGGGAGGAAGAGCAGUAAGUUAAUACCUUGCUGUUUUGACGUUACCUAAAGAAUAAGCACCGGCUAACUACGUG